AAGGGUCCAUUUUCCUCACUAUAUUCUGCAAGAAUAAGAUCUCCAUCUUUGCCUGUGAGAUCCUGAGGUGUGCGCAUAAAAAACAACUCUCCACCACCUGAGGCUUGCCUCUCUUGUUCUCUCAUCUUGGCCUUUUUUCUGAUGUGCUUUAGCAAAGGUUGGACUGAAUGGGGACCUGGCUGAGACAGUGCACCAAAUGAGUACUUUUUCAGAGGUGGGCGAUGGAACUGCCGGAUUUUGAUGGGCCCCAUGUGGGUGGGAAAGAAGGGCUGCCAUAAUUCCAUAGCAGGAAUUGAAUGCUGGAUAAUAUUCCCUCCAAAGGUGCCCCAAAGACCCUGUUGCUUGGGGAAAUAAUACUCAUCAUUGGAGAGAUUCCAUGGAUCUUUCACUUCUGGCUGAGACAUGUUCUGCUGUGGUUCCUCCCUGAUGACACCUGUUUUGCCCAAGAGAAUUCGACUCUUCUUCAGAGAUGAUUCCUUCUUACUCUCCUUGGAGGGGGAGUUAGAGGUGGCCUCUUCCUUCUCAUCAGGAAUUUCCAAAAUGAGGUUCUCAUCAUUGGGAUCAAGUGCCAAAACAGGAGGUUCCAACAGCCAGGGCAUGGCCUGAGCAUCCCAAAUGAUAUUGUCCUCCCAGCGUCCAUACGCCAAAUCCUCAUUGUCAAUCGGAAAAAUGGAGUACCAAGGUUUGUCAUCAUCCAGAGUGGCUGCAAAACCUUGCUGAACAUUGUAAGCCAUUGCAUUCCUAGUCAUGCUAGAAGGAAGCCAGCCUGCCAGGCUUGCAUGCUGAGGUUUUGUCCCUUUGUGUUUGACAUCCUCCCCAUCCCAGAUGAUAGAAUCCUCCCAAUGCAGCUGUGUCACCAUCAGGAAGUUUUCGUCAGCCAGAAGAUCAGUGCCAUUGCUUUCCUCAAGUUUUCUAAAUUCCUCCGUCAUUCUAGAUUUUAUCACAGGUUCAUGUUGUGUCUUUCUCAGUUUGAAGCCAUAGUCAAACCCACUGCCAUCUUCGGAGACACCCAACAUAUCAUACCACAGUCGGGCAGGCCCAUAACGCCACUCAGCCACUCUUGGUUUGGUAUCUGUCACUUUAUCUACAUCUCCAGUUGAUUGGGAAAAUUUGGACUCCACAGGAACCAUCAUCGUGAUUUCAUCAUCAGAGAGGCACUGCUCUGGAGGUGGUGGUGGAGCAUAGUCAUAGUUCCACAAAGACUUCUGGCUGACUUCUGAUUCUACCGAGCAUUCCACCUCCUGGAUCUGCUCUUCCUGUAUCAGCUCACGAUGCUUCUUCCUCUUUCUCCGAGCACUCCGCCAAACAGAUGGGACAUUCUUCCCUGGUCCAAAAAGAUGUAGGAAGCGUAACACCUUUCCAGGUCGAAAUUCUGGAAAAAGUUCUGUGACACUUGGCAACAGCUUGGUGGCAUCAUGCUGCAUAACCCCAGCCAAUGGAAGGGUCAGCUUUCCAUCCUCAGAUUCUGCCUGUGUUGCUUCCUGAGGUCCCAUCUCAGAUUCUGAAUCAGAGUAACUACUGAAAUCCACCUUCUCUGAGGCCAAAAAAGAAGGGGCAAUGAUGGAGGGCAAGAUGAUGCCUUCUCCAUUUUCAGACACACAGGGCUCCCUCCUAAAACAGCCACUUAGGAACAAGAGCCACUGAAAAGGGAUGGAUGUCCUCCCUUGGCAACCCAUAGCAGGAACCAGCUUGUGUAGCAGUGACACUGCAAACUAAGGAACCAGAAGCCAGAUAGAUGCAUCCCUUGCGAGGGGGCUCCCAGUGGAGUCUUGUAGACUAUGUUACAGUGUGCUGUGGCUCUAAUUCAAUUCUAAGCUCUAGUUGUGUGACUAACAGCCUAAAGGAGAAAAAGGAAAACCAGCCUCAAAGUCCUGCCUGCUUCUGUCUUCUGGCAAGAAGAAACUAUGGCUAUACAUCCAGGGGGGCUGGAAGGGCUGAGUGGCAUUAUCAUUUUGUAACUCUCUUACUCACCGAAAACGCAGGAGAGGUUUUCAAAUGAAUGUAUAUUCAUGAGGAAUAUUUUUUAAAGACAGUAGAAAGAAUUUUUUUAAAAAGCAGCAGCAUCACAAGGCCUAUUGGUUAUCUCUGUUCAGCAACACACAUUUAGGGGUCAUGUCGGAAAAUGGUAUAUGCUCAUAGGAUCUGCCUUCCUUUAGGUCACACCUUUACAUCAUCUGCUUAUUCUGGAAACAAUAUUGUUUUUCCCAUGGGCUGCUUAAGAUUUCUAAGAUAUCACACUGGCCAGAAUACUUUGAUAAGUUCCAUUGCUCAGGAUCCUGGAUUUUUGACUGGUCAAGCCCCAUCCAAGGAACUGGAGCACAAAAUAGAUAACUUAGAGGUCAAGAGCCUGGCUUUGAGCCGAAGAGACCAGUCAUUAGAAUUUUGGCCCUGCUCAUUACUAUCUUGUGAUUUUGACAAAUUACUUUUCUUUCUAAGCCUCAGUUUCUUCUUCUAUAAACAAAGGCCAGAAAGAUACCUACUUCAUAGGAUUGUUACUGGGAUCAAAUGAGAAUGCCUAUAAAGUGCUUAGUAUAGUGCCUGGCACAUCGUAAGAUUUCAAUAAACGUUAAAUGCUUUCCCAUGC
Molecule: non-coding RNA, 2584 nt
Filed under: Pongo abelii (Sumatran orangutan)
Lineage: Eukaryota; Metazoa; Chordata; Mammalia; Primates; Hominidae
Source: RNAcentral